GAUGAACGCUGGCGGCGUGCCUAAUACAUGCAAGUCGAGCGAACGGACGAGAAGCUUGCUUCUCUGAUGUUAGCGGCGGACGGGUGAGUAACACGUGGAUAACCUACCUAUAAGACUGGGAUAACUUCGGGAAACCGUAGCUAAUACCGGAUAAUAUUUUGAACCGCAUGGUUCAAAAGUGGAAGACGGUCUUGCUGUCACUUAUAGAUGGAUCCGCGCUGCAUUAGCUAGUUGGUAAGGUAACGGCUUACCAAGGCAACGAUGCAUAGCCGACCUGAGAGGGUGAUCGGCCACACUGGAACUGAGACACGGUCCAGACUCCUACGGGAGGCAGCAGUAGGGAAUCUUCCGCAAUGGGCGAAAGCCUGACGGAGCAACGCCGCGUGAGUGAUGAAGGUCUUCGGAUCGUAAAACUCUGUUAUUAGGGAAGAACAUAUGUGUAAGUAACUGUGCACAUCUUGACGGUACCUAAACAGAAAGCCACGGCUAACUACGUG
This 497-nucleotide ribosomal RNA is filed under the name uncultured bacterium. RNAcentral describes it as "partial 16S ribosomal RNA". It matches the Rfam family "Bacterial small subunit ribosomal RNA", at positions 28 to 507 of the family's 1533-position model. The record is from RNAcentral.